RNA transcript from Calliphora vicina (urban bluebottle blowfly), 3603 nucleotides. It is a transcript of the gene named bruno 1, with no coding region annotated. NCBI's taxonomy places the organism in Eukaryota, Metazoa, Arthropoda, Insecta, Diptera, Calliphoridae. The transcript is spliced from 13 exons. The record is from RefSeq and is a predicted model, not a curated record.
GAUAAGGUUUCUAAACGUUUUUGUUCGUUCUUUUAUUUCUUACGUCUUUUUAUUUUGGCUCCUCGUUAAUUUGUGGUGGUGGUCUUAUUAUACGUCAAAAUCUGUAUUAUUUAUUGUACGUUUUUUGAGCAAAAAGAUAAUUCUAAAAACCUAUAAAAAAUAUAAAUAUAAAACUGUGGUGUUUUUGUGCUUUUACGUGGUAAUUACGUCUGGUAUUUGCAAAAACAUAACAAAGGGUUUCAAAUAACUUAAGUUAAAUUAUACAAAAAAAAAAAAGAACUUGUAACAUUUUACAACUGUGUGUGUCUUUUGGUGCUUUUGGAAAAUUUACAAAAAAAAAGAGAAAUAAAUUUCUUAAGAGAAAUAAAAUAAAGAAAACUAAAUCUAUUGUACUGUGUCAUUUGGUCAGUUGUCAGCUUUUAAACUAGUGAUCUGUCUUUCUGUCUUACGUUACAUUACAUUAACUAUAACAUAUUUUACACGUAUAGUUUUUGCUUUAUUUAAGUAAAAACAAACGUACGCCUAAAUAUUCUCAACGAAUUUAUUUUCGAAAACAUUUUCUUGUGUGUUGGUAUAAAUUUAUGCAACAGCUCUAGAAUAAACGUAAAAGCUAAACAAAAACUAUAUAGAAAAAAACAAAGUGAAAUUUAAAUCAAUAAAGUGUAUAUUAAAAACCAUAAAUAACAAAACACUUUAAAAAUUUAUAACUCUAAAGGAAAAAAUCAUAAACAUAAAAAUUUAAGUGUUUUCAAAAUUGGAAGUAUUUAAAAACAAAACAACGGUUAAAAAGCGUAAAGAGAGGCAAAAGGCAAGAAAAGAAAAAUAAAUUUUCAUAAUUAAGAAGUUAACAUAAUGUUAAGUUCGCUUGAUGCAUUAGCUAGUAAAAUAUCACCUGGCUCAGGAAACAAAUCUCCGUCCCAGCAGCAGCAGCAAAAACAAUCAAGUCAACAACAGUUGUCACAAACAUCUUACUAUAAACAGGAGUGCAUAGACAAUCAACAACAACAGCAGCAUCAGCAGCAGCAGCAGCAACAAUCAUCUCAUACUCAUUCGUUACGUUUAAACUGUAAUCAUUAUAAUGGUGGCUUGGAUAGCAAUGGAAACAAAUUAUGUCACAUCACUCACAAUACCAUACAUCCCUAUCACAAGCAACCGAAUUCACCAAACAGCAGCAACAAUACCAACAACCACAAUCAUAGCACGAACCUUGCCAACAGUUUGCUGCAACAGCAAAAGAUGGCAACGUACCCAGCAUCAUCGACCCCACCAACGACACCGCUCUCGGCCUCAUCUCUCUCACCCAAAGAAUGCCUGCAACAACAACAGCAACAGCACGAAUUGUUUCAACAACAGCUGCAACAGCGACGACAGAGUUUGCAACAGCAGCAGCUCCAUCACCCUCACCAGCAGCAACAGUCUGUGUCUGCACCAUUGUCGCCAACAACAACCUCCUCCCAGCCAUACGAUGAAAAUGAUUCCCAGCAUGAGUUUAGCAGUUGUCUGAAGGAAAAUGCAUUUGGUAUGAGUGAUAAAAGUAGUACAACCAAUAGCCUACCGAAUAGUCCUAUACAUAGUAACAACAAUAAUACGUCGAUGCUGAACAACAACAAUACCAGCCUCCGUAAUCACAACAUACCCAGCAACAACAAUAACAUCAGCAACAACAAUAACAACAACAAUACAACCAGUGCCAAUCGUAAUGUGGUGGACGAUGACGCUUGUUUUCGCAUGGACGCCGAUACACCGUUCGGUGAGAAGGAGCCAGAUCCAGACAAUAUUAAAAUGUUUGUUGGCCAGGUGCCAAAAUCAAUGGAUGAGGCUCAACUACGCGAAAUGUUUGAAGAGUAUGGUCCCGUGCAUUCAAUAAAUGUUUUACGGGAUAAAGCGACUGGAAUCAGUAAAGGUUGUUGUUUUGUGACAUAUUAUACCCGCCGUGCUGCCUUAAAAGCUCAAGAUGCCCUGCACAAUGUUAAAACCUUAAAUGGGAUGUAUCAUCCUAUACAAAUGAAACCCGCCGAUAGUGAAAAUCGUAAUGAACGCAAACUGUUUGUUGGCAUGCUAAAUAAGAAACUGAACGAGAACGACGUACGUAAAUUAUUUGAAGUGCACGGUGCGAUCGAAGAGUGUACGGUGUUGCGUGAUCAGAACGGUCAAAGUAAAGGGUGUGCAUUUGUGACGUUUGCCACAAAACACGCAGCGAUAUCAGCGAUUAAAGUAACUUUAAAUCAAAAUAAAACUAUGGAAGGCUGCACUUCACCAUUAGUUGUGAAAUUCGCCGAUACCCAAAAGGAAAAGGAACAAAAGAAAAUCCAACAAAUCCAAGCGAAUCUAUGGAAUUUGGCGACGAAUAUUAAUAUACCUUUGGGUCAAACACCGACAACGGUUUCGACGCCCAUGAUAACCAAUCAACCCCAACAGGCUAGUCCUGUUUUGGGCGCAGAUGCUAUAACACCAGCAUCAUUGCAGUUGUUGCAACAAUUGCAGGCAGUCGGUUUACAACAGCAGCUAUUGCAAGGUUUGGGUGCACAAACAAAUUCUGCAGAUACGGCAGCUGCCACAGCUGCUGCUGCAGCCGCUGGUCUUCUACCUCCUAUGACUGUACAAAAUUUAGCUGCUCUGGCAGCCAUGACACAACCCUCAUUGACAAAUGCUGCCACUAAUCCGGGCAGUGCCCAGUUAUCAAAUACAGCCGCCUUAUUGUAUAAUUCGAUGAAAUUUAACUCACGUUAUUCUUAUGGUUUGGGGAUGAAUCCUUUUGAAAGUGGGUCUGAUCCAAACUCCUUAGCAUCGGCCUAUAUGUCAACAGCCAGUCUACAACAAUUUGGCAGCGCCGCCUUAACUUCAUCACCUUUAGCCAGUGUUGCCUUAAGUACUGCAGCUGCUGCAGCAGCAGGAAAACAAAUCGAGGGUCCUGAAGGCUGUAAUCUGUUCAUAUAUCAUUUGCCGCAAGAAUUCACCGACACUGAUUUGGCAUCAACUUUCCUGCCAUUCGGAAAUGUAAUUUCCGCCAAAGUCUUCAUCGAUAAGCAGACAAACUUGUCCAAGUGUUUUGGUUUUGUAUCGUUUGACAACUCGGAAUCGGCGCAGGUAGCCAUUAAAGCAAUGAAUGGAUUCCAAGUGGGCACCAAACGACUAAAGGUACAGCUUAAGAAGCCCAAAGAUGCCUCCAAACCCUACUGAUAUCCAGUCAAAAAGAAACAACUGCAGCUAAAACACCUCCCAUUAAACAGCUCGCUUGCCAAGGGAUUUAAAAAAUACUUUGAAAGCAAACCCAAGUCUUUAACUUGGAGUAAAGUAUAAUUUGAGUUAUACAUUUUUCUAGAGGAGCUUUGCUGCCGUCUGUUUUCAACAGAGAAAAGAAUAACAGCCUAAAAGUAUGUGAAGAAAAAAUUCAACAAAACAAACAACACUUAUGUUAAUUAAAUCUUUUAAGCUAAAUGUGCAAAAUAAAGCCAUUGUUUUGCUAGGAAAACAUUUUGUAUAUUUUGUAUGAAUCUUUCUUUCAACUUUUUCAAUUUUAAACAGCUGCAAAUAGUAAAUAUAACUUCAUUAAAUGAAGAUUUUGUACAAGAAUUUUUGUAAAUAAUCCUUAAUUAAUUGCCC